CCUACGGGUGGCAGCAGUCGAGAAUUUUUCUCAAUGGGGGCAACCCUGAAGGAGCGACGCCGCGUGGAGGAUGAAGGCUUUCGGGUUGUAAACUCCUGUCAUUUGAGAACUAGUAUCAGAAGAGGAAGGGACGGCUAACUCUGUGCCAGCAGCCGCGGUAAUACAGAGGUCCCGAGCGUUGUUCGGAUUCAUUGGGCGUAAAGGGUGCGUAGGUGGCGCUGUAAGUGGGGUGUGAAAUCCCGGGGCUUAACUCCGGAACUGCAUUCCAUACUGCAGUGCUUGAGGACUGGAGAGGAGACUGGAAUUUACGGUGUAGCAGUGAAAUGCGUAGAGAUCGUAAGGAAGACCAGUGGCGAAGGCGGGUCUCUGGACAGUCCUGACACUGAGGCACGAAGGCCAGGGGAGCAAACGGGAUUAGAUACCCUUGUAGUC
RNAcentral lists this ribosomal RNA (432 nucleotides) under uncultured bacterium. RNAcentral describes it as "partial 16S ribosomal RNA". It matches the Rfam family "Bacterial small subunit ribosomal RNA", at positions 338 to 795 of the family's 1533-position model. The record is from RNAcentral.